CCCUUAGAUGUUCUGGGCCGCACGCGCGCUACACUGAUGCAUUCAACGAGUCCAACCUUGACCGAGAGGUCCGGGUAAUCUUUGAAACUACAUCGUGAUGGGGCUAGAUUAUUGCAAUUAUUAAUCUUCAACGAGGAAUGCCUAGUAAGCGUGAUUCAUCAAAUCGCGUUGAUUACGUCCCUGCCCUUUGUACACACCGCCCGUCGCUCCUACCGAUUGAGUGUGUUGGUGAGGAGUUUGGAUUGGCCUCGGAAGGUGGUUCGCCACCGUCCGUAGCUGAGAAGUUCUCCAAACCGCCCCACUUAGAGGAAGGAGAANUCGUANCA
This 326-nucleotide ribosomal RNA is filed under the name uncultured eukaryote. RNAcentral describes it as "partial 18S ribosomal RNA". It matches the Rfam family "Eukaryotic small subunit ribosomal RNA", at positions 1470 to 1796 of the family's 1831-position model. The record is from RNAcentral.